RNAcentral lists this ribosomal RNA (440 nucleotides) under uncultured bacterium. RNAcentral's name for it is "bacterial SSU rRNA". It matches the Rfam family "Bacterial small subunit ribosomal RNA", at positions 28 to 451 of the family's 1533-position model. The record is from RNAcentral.
GAUGAACGCUGGCGGCGUGCUUAACACAUGCAAGUCGAACGGGAAACCUUUUAUUGAAGCUUCGGCAGAUUUAGAUUGUUUCUAGUGGCGGACGGGUGAGUAACGCGUGGGUAACCUGCCUUAUACAGGGGGAUAACAGUCAGAAAUGACUGCUAAUACCGCAUAAGCGCACAGGACCGCAUGGUCCGGUGUGAAAAACUCCGGUGGUAUAAGAUGGACCCGCGUUGGAUUAGCUUGUUGGCAGGGUAACGGCCUACCAAGGCGACGAUCCAUAGCCGGCCUGAGAGGGUGAACGGCCACAUUGGGACUGAGACACGGCCCAGACUCCUACGGGAGGCAGCAGUGGGGAAUAUUGCACAAUGGGGGAAACCCUGAUGCAGCGACGCCGCGUGAAGGAAGAAGUAUCUCGGUAUGUAAACUUCUAUCAGCAGGGAAGAAAA